GGGGAUGUUUUGGAUUCGACAGGUAUAGGUCGAGCUUGAAUUGCGCCUCGUAGUUGCGCGACGUAAAGACGCUCAGUUAAAUAUAACUGCAAAAAAUAAUAACAAUUCUUACGCUUUAGCUGCGUAAUAGUAGCUUAGCGUAGAUCCGCCUAACAUCGUCCAUGUGUUGGUCACGGGUCUUAAACUAAGUGGACUCACGCCAAAAGCUCCCACCUGAAGCUGCUGGAAGAGAGUAAUCAGGUUAGUUGUCAAUGCUGGCCAUGCCAUUCGGCGUAGUUGACAAUGAACUCUAAAUAGAAUGACUAUGGGCGUAGAGGUUUAAGUGACGAUAUGCUUGGACGCGGGUUCGAGUCCCGCCAUCUCCAUUA
RNAcentral lists this transfer-messenger RNA (368 nucleotides) under Liquorilactobacillus capillatus. Its description in RNAcentral is "Standard tmRNA". It matches the Rfam family "transfer-messenger RNA". From Rfam's summary of the family: Bacterial tmRNA, also known as 10Sa RNA or SsrA, is named for its dual tRNA and mRNA-like properties. Its role is to liberate the mRNA from a stalled ribosome. To accomplish this part of the tmRNA is used as a reading frame that ends in a translation stop signal. RNAcentral also lists the same sequence under 1 other name. The record is from RNAcentral. Lineage: Bacteria; Bacillati; Bacillota; Bacilli; Lactobacillales; Lactobacillaceae.